Toxocara canis (dog roundworm) is the source of this 72-nucleotide transfer RNA. It matches the Rfam family "tRNA". Rfam says of the family: Transfer RNA (tRNA) molecules are approximately 80 nucleotides in length. Their secondary structure includes four short double-helical elements and three loops (D, anti-codon, and T loops). Further hydrogen bonds mediate the characteristic L-shaped molecular structure. tRNAs have two regions of fundamental functional importance: the anti-codon, which is responsible for specific mRNA codon recognition, and the 3' end, to which the tRNAs corresponding amino acid is attached (by aminoacyl-tRNA synthetases). tRNAs cope with the degeneracy of the genetic code in two manners: having more than one tRNA (with a specific anti-codon) for a particular amino acid; and 'wobble' base-pairing, i.e. permitting non-standard base-pairing at the 3rd anti-codon position. The record is from Rfam. Lineage: Eukaryota; Metazoa; Nematoda; Chromadorea; Rhabditida; Toxocaridae.
AAAGCAGUAGCUCAAAGUUAGAGCUUUCGCCUGAUAUGCGAAAAGACCCGGGUUUGACACCCGGCUGCUUCG